CAACCCCUAAGCACAGCUUAUUGUUGGGCGUCUACGUCUGUAGUGCCUCAAAGACAUUGGCGGAGCGGCAGCAGUCCUCUGAGCGUAGUAAUUCUUUAUCUCGCUUCUGUUAGGCGCUGCUCCCCCGGCCGUAAAACCCCCAAUUUUUUCU
This 151-nucleotide unclassified non-coding RNA is filed under the name uncultured Ascomycota. RNAcentral's name for it is "sequence contains ITS2". Lineage: Eukaryota; Fungi; Ascomycota. The record is from RNAcentral.